RNAcentral lists this unclassified non-coding RNA (450 nucleotides) under Hevea brasiliensis (rubber tree). The record is from RNAcentral. Lineage: Eukaryota; Viridiplantae; Streptophyta; Magnoliopsida; Malpighiales; Euphorbiaceae.
CGCGGAUGAGGAGGAGGAGGCGCAUGGAGUCUUGGAUGGAGGAGAGGGAGGGGGAGGGAGCAUCGGCGGGGCCGGUGAAGUUGCGGAAGAAGUGGUCCCAGGAGUCGUCGACGCUGCGGGGGUCGGAUUCCCAGGCGCGCUGGAGCUCCUCGAGGUAGACGGUGGAGGUGCCGUCGAGGAAGCUGUCUGUGAGACGGGAGAGGGGGACGGGGCGGGGGACGGGGGAGGCGAAGCGACGGUGAGCGGUGGAGUGGAAGGGGCGGGAGAGGGGCCGAGGGGGGAGGUGCGGCGAAUGGGAGAGGUUGCGGCGGAGGGCGAGGCGGGCGAUGCCCGUCGCGGCGCGGAACCACGUCAUCGGCGGCGAUCAGCGGCGGAUCGGGGCUAAUUUGGGGGAUCGGAGAGAGAAAUUGGAGUGGAAGCCGUAGCUGAGGAGGAAGAAACCCUAGCUGG